CGACCUGAGCUCAGGCAAGGCUACCCGCUGAACUUAAGCAUAUCAAUAAGCGGAGGAAAAGAAACUAACAAGGAUGCGCUUAGUAACGGCGAGCGAACCGCGCAAAGCCCAACUUGAAAAUCUCCCUUGGAGAAUUGUAGUCUAUAGAAGUACCCUCUGCAACGGGCUGAGCUAAAGUCUCCUGGAAAGGGGCGUCAGAGAGGGUGAGAACCCCGUAAGCUCACGCUUAGUUGCCUCACGAGGUGCUUUCAAAGAGUCGGGUUGCUUGGGAAUGCAGCCCAAAUUUGGUGGUAAAUCCCAUCUAAGGCUAAAUAUUGGCGAGAGACCGAUAGCGAACAAGUACCGUGAGGGAAAGAUGAAAAGAACUUUGAAAAGAGAGUUAAAAAGUGCUUGAAAUUGUUGAGGGGGAAGCGUUUGAAUGCUAGGGUGCGCCUAGGCUUAUGGGUUCUUAACGGGGCUCUGUAUGUGCUAGGUGCUGGCCAGCAUGGGUUAGGCUAGUGGGAUAAAAGCUGGGAUUGAUACCCGGUCUAUGCCACUGGCUUGACCAAGGCGUUAAGACUGCCCUUGUCCUUCGGGAACUGCAGUCUCAAGAUGCUGGCAAAAGGCUUUCAACCGACCCGUCUUGAAACACGGACCAAGGAGUCUAACAUGUAUGCGAGUUGGUGGGUGGAAAACCCAUGAAGCGUAAGGAAACUGACUGGUGGGAUGGCCUGUGCCUGCACCAUCGACCGACCAUGCGUUUCUGCAAAAGGUUUGAGUGCGAGCAUACACGUUGGGACCCGAAAGAUGGUGAACUAUGCCUGAGCAGGGUGAAGCCAGGUGAAAACCUGGUGGAGGCUCGUAGAUGUGCUGACGUGCAAAUCGCUUUUCGGACUUGGGUAUAGGGGCGAAAGACUAAUCGAACCAUCUAGUAGCUGGUUUCCUCCGAAGUUUCCCCCAGGAUAGCUGGAGCUUAUUCGGAGUACGGUCAGGUAAAGCGAAUGAUUAGAGGUUCGGGGGAUGUAACAUCCUUCACCUAUUCUCAAACUUAAAUAGGGUCGUUGUCUGUUGCUAAAUAACCCAGGCCCUUCAAGAUGAGAGCUCCAAUGCCAUUUUUGUAAGCGAACUGCGAGCGGCAUGAACCGAUAAGCGAGUAAGGCAGCCAAAACUGCCGCUUAACCCUAGAUCCCACAAAGGGUGUUGAUUGAUAUAGACAGCAGGACGGUGGUCAUGGAAGUCGAAAUCCGCUAAGGAGUGUGUAACAACUCACCUGCCGAAUCAAUUAGCCCCGAAAAUGGAUGGCGCUGAAGCGCGUGACCUAUACUCGGCNNNNNNNCCAUGGAAGUAAGUGCGAGACUUCCAUGAGUAGGAGGACGUGGAUAUCGUUGCGCAGCCUGGGGCGUGAGCCUGGGUGAAACGGUAUCUAGUGCAGAUCUUGGUGGUAGUAGCAAAUAUUCAAAUGAGAACUUUGAAGACUGAAGUGGAGAAAGGUUCCAUGUGAACAGCAAUUGGACAUGGGUUAGUCGAUCCUAAGAGGUAUCGGCGAAAGCCCGUUCAGAAGCGUGGUGGAUAGUGCCUUCGGGUACUGGUUGGUGUUUGGGCGCAAGUCUUUGCAUUGAUCACCGCAACCUACCGAAAGGGAAUCGGGUUAAUAUUCCCGAACCCGGCAUCGGAUACGCCAGUCUUCGGGCUGGCAAAUGCGGCAACGCAAAUGAACUCGGAAACGCUGACACGUGCCCUAGAAAGAGUUGUUCUUUUCUUCAUAAGGCUCAGGCUCCCUGGAAUCGGAUCAUCCCGGCGAUAGGGAGAUGGAGUCCGUAGAGCACCGCGCGUUUUCUUGCGGUGUCUGGUGCGCACGUGUCGGUCCUUGAAA
Ribosomal RNA from Hypsibius dujardini, 1852 nucleotides. It matches the Rfam family "Eukaryotic large subunit ribosomal RNA", at positions 1 to 1810 of the family's 3401-position model. The record is from Rfam. Lineage: Eukaryota; Metazoa; Tardigrada; Eutardigrada; Parachela; Hypsibiidae.